UGGGGAAUAUUGNACAAUGGACCAAAAGUCUGAUCCAGCAAUUCUGUGUGCACGAUGACGUUUUUCGGAAUGUAAAGUGCUUUCAGUUGGGAAGAAAAAAAUGACGGUACCAACAGAAGAAGUGACGGCUAAAUACGUGCCAGCAGCCGCGGUAAUACGUAUGUCACAAGCGUUAUCCGGAUUUAUUGGGCGUAAAGCGCGUCUAGGUGGUUAUGUAAGUCUGAUGUGAAAAUGCAGGGCUCAACUCUGUAUUGCGUUGGAAACUGCAUGACUAGAGUACUGGAGAGGUAAGCGGAACUACAAGUGUAGAGGUGAAAUUCGUAGAUAUUUGUAGGAAUGCCGAUGGGGAAGCCAGCUUACUGGACAGAUACUGACGCUAAAGCGCGAAAGCGUGGGUAGCAAACAGGAUUAGAUACCCUGGUAGUCCACGCCGUAAACGAUGAUUACUAGGUGUUGGGGGUCGAACCUCAGCGCCCAAGCUAACGCGAUAAGUAAUCCGCCUGGGGAGUACGUACGCAAGUAUG
Molecule: ribosomal RNA, 524 nt
Filed under: uncultured bacterium
Lineage: Bacteria
Description: bacterial SSU rRNA
Rfam family: Bacterial small subunit ribosomal RNA
Source: RNAcentral